GGGAUUAAUAAUUUUACUUCUUCUUAAGGGUCCUCAUAUUUUGUGGUUGCAAAUGGAUGUGUCCUGCCCAACAGUGAAAAUGCUCAUGGCCAAUCUCUGGAAGAAGAUUCCGCAUGGGAAGCUUUGCUGAAUUUUUUCUUUCCAACAACGAGCCGGCCGAUGAUUUACAAAGGCAGGACAACACAGUUGUAACGGGUUUGAAGAAACGAAGGAAGCGAAAGAGGAAGUCUGAAAUGUUACAGAAAGAAGCAAGAGGACGUGAGGAACAUGGUGAAGAGUAGCAAGAGAUCAAAGCAUUAUUUUCCCCUCAAGACAACAGAAACCAUUCAGAGCAGAGGGGACUGUCUCAGCCAUGCAAACCUCAUGGAGCAUUUUGGAAAGCUAAAAAUUGGUUCUUAUUUUUGUCAUGUUUACUUUCAAACAUGAAAUAAAAUUGAGUUCUGUUUUCAUGCAUCAAACCAGAAUCUGAAUUCUUUUUAUUAAAAACAGUUCCUACAGAAUCUUUAAAAACAUGCCUAAAACACCGGUGGCAUUCAGAUCCUAAAAAGUUACAUGAUUUUUGCAACUUGGGUUAUUGUAUCAACGUAUACUUCGGUUGGU
This 600-nucleotide long non-coding RNA is filed under the name Pan troglodytes (chimpanzee). RNAcentral describes it as "lncRNA (ENSPTRG00000054493.1)". The record is from RNAcentral. Lineage: Eukaryota; Metazoa; Chordata; Mammalia; Primates; Hominidae.